This 1000-nucleotide ribosomal RNA is filed under the name Leifsonia sp. HBUM178222. RNAcentral describes it as "bacterial SSU rRNA". It matches the Rfam family "Bacterial small subunit ribosomal RNA", at positions 33 to 1039 of the family's 1533-position model. The record is from RNAcentral. Lineage: Bacteria; Bacillati; Actinomycetota; Actinomycetes; Micrococcales; Microbacteriaceae.
GCGGGGGGGGGGUGGCUUUAAACAUGGCAGUCGGAACGAUGAACCAGGAGCUUGCUCUUGGGGAUUAGUGGCGAACGGGUGAGUAACACGUGAGUAACCUGCCCUUGACUCUGGGAUAACCUCCGGAAACGGAAGCUAAUACCGGAUACGACGCACGGAGGCAUCUCCUGUGCGUGGAAAGAACUUCGGUCAAGGAUGGACUCGCGGCCUAUCAGGUAGUUGGUGAGGUAACGGCCCACCAAGCCUACGACGGGUAGCCGGCCUGAGAGGGUGACCGGCCACACUGGGACUGAGACACGGCCCAGACUCCUACGGGAGGCAGCAGUGGGGAAUAUUGCACAAUGGGCGCAAGCCUGAUGCAGCAACGCCGCGUGAGGGAUGACGGCCUUCGGGUUGUAAACCUCUUUUAGUAGGGAAGAAGCGAAAGUGACGGUACCUGCAGAAAAAGCACCGGCUAACUACGUGCCAGCAGCCGCGGUAAUACGUAGGGUGCGAGCGUUGUCCGGAAUUAUUGGGCGUAAAGAGCUCGUAGGCGGUCUGUCGCGUCUGCUGUGAAAACCCGAGGCUCAACCUCGGGCCUGCAGUGGGUACGGGCAGACUAGAGUGCGGUAGGGGAGAAUGGAAUUCCUGGUGUAGCGGUGGAAUGCGCAGAUAUCAGGAGGAACACCGAUGGCGAAGGCAGUUCUCUGGGCCGUAACUGACGCUGAGGAGCGAAAGCGUGGGGAGCGAACAGGAUUAGAUACCCUGGUAGUCCACGCCGUAAACGUUGGGCGCUAGAUGUGGGGACCAUUCCACGGUUUCCGUGUCGCAGCUAACGCAUUAAGCGCCCCGCCUGGGGAGUACGGCCGCAAGGCUAAAACUCAAAGGAAUUGACGGGGGGCCCGCACAAGCGGCGGAGCAUGCGGAUUAAUUCGAUGCAACGCGAAGAACCUUACCAAGGCUUGACAUACACGAGAACGCUCUAGAAAUAGGGAACUCUUUUGGACACUCGUGAACAGUU